RNAcentral lists this ribosomal RNA (873 nucleotides) under Pseudomonas aeruginosa. RNAcentral describes it as "bacterial SSU rRNA". It matches the Rfam family "Bacterial small subunit ribosomal RNA", at positions 20 to 888 of the family's 1533-position model. The record is from RNAcentral. Lineage: Bacteria; Pseudomonadati; Pseudomonadota; Gammaproteobacteria; Pseudomonadales; Pseudomonadaceae.
UGGCUCAGAUUGAACGCUGGCGGCAGGCCUAACACAUGCAAGUCGAGCGGAUGAAGGGAGCUUGCUCCUGGAUUCAGCGGCGGACGGGUGAGUAAUGCCUAGGAAUCUGCCUGGUAGUGGGGGAUAACGUCCGGAAACGGGCGCUAAUACCGCAUACGUCCUGAGGGAGAAAGUGGGGGAUCUUCGGACCUCACGCUAUCAGAUGAGCCUAGGUCGGAUUAGCUAGUUGGUGGGGUAAAGGCCUACCAAGGCGACGAUCCGUAACUGGUCUGAGAGGAUGAUCAGUCACACUGGAACUGAGACACGGUCCAGACUCCUACGGGAGGCAGCAGUGGGGAAUAUUGGACAAUGGGCGAAAGCCUGAUCCAGCCAUGCCGCGUGUGUGAAGAAGGUCUUCGGAUUGUAAAGCACUUUAAGUUGGGAGGAAGGGCAGUAAGUUAAUACCUUGCUGUUUUGACGUUACCAACAGAAUAAGCACCGGCUAACUUCGUGCCAGCAGCCGCGGUAAUACGAAGGGUGCAAGCGUUAAUCGGAAUUACUGGGCGUAAAGCGCGCGUAGGUGGUUCAGCAAGUUGGAUGUGAAAUCCCCGGGCUCAACCUGGGAACUGCAUCCAAAACUACUGAGCUAGAGUACGGUAGAGGGUGGUGGAAUUUCCUGUGUAGCGGUGAAAUGCGUAGAUAUAGGAAGGAACACCAGUGGCGAAGGCGACCACCUGGACUGAUACUGACACUGAGGUGCGAAAGCGUGGGGAGCAAACAGGAUUAGAUACCCUGGUAGUCCACGCCGUAAACGAUGUCGACUAGCCGUUGGGAUCCUUGAGAUCUUAGUGGCGCAGCUAACGCGAUAAGUCGACCGCCUGGGGAGUACGGCCG